This 233-nucleotide long non-coding RNA is filed under the name Monodelphis domestica (gray short-tailed opossum). Its description in RNAcentral is "lncRNA (ENSMODG00000045781.1)". The record is from RNAcentral. Lineage: Eukaryota; Metazoa; Chordata; Mammalia; Didelphimorphia; Didelphidae.
AUGAAGCCAAUCUAUAAUUACUGUCUAGGCUUGGAGAAGAGCUCAAAGGACCAUUACCAGUUCACACUACUCUUUUUAUCCAGGAUGGCUGAGAUGUUCAGAAACUCUGCUAACCAGAAGAUCCAACUCACCCCAGCAAGAACAGAACCACAACACAUGAGAAAGGGUGUCUAAUUCUGAAUUUAUUCACUUAAUCACUCUGAGUAAUCAUUUCCUACCAGCUGCGCUUCUUG